Sorghum bicolor (sorghum) is the source of this 1946-nucleotide RNA transcript. It is a transcript of the gene named (R)-specific enoyl-CoA hydratase, with no coding region annotated. NCBI's taxonomy places the organism in Eukaryota, Viridiplantae, Streptophyta, Magnoliopsida, Poales, Poaceae. The record is from RefSeq and is a predicted model, not a curated record. The transcript has 4 exons.
AAAGAAAUUGUUGAGAGGCAACUGCAACCCCAGCUGUCAGCUUACUGGUCCGAUUUUGUACACCGAAAUCCCCAACGGCGGCCGCCACGAUGCGCCUCCGCGGCCGGGCAAUCUUCCCCCUCGUCCGCACCACCACCACCACGUCGGCCGCGUCUUCGCCGCCGGGGGUGCUGAGCGUCGGCCACGCGCUGCGCGAGCGCCGGCGCUUCACGGAGGACGACGUGGCGGCGUACGCGGCGGUCAGCGGCGACCGCAACCCGGUGCACCUCGACGACGCCGUCGCCCGGGAGCUGGGCGGGUUCCACCGAGGCCGCGUCGUGCACGGCAUGCUCGUCGCGUCCCUCUUCCCUUCCAUCAUCGCCGCCAGCUUCCCUGGCGCGGUGUACGCCAGCCAGACGCUCAAGUUUGCGGCGCCGGUGUACGUCGGAUAUGAGGUGGUUGCUCAAGUCCAGGCACUCAACAUCAGGACGACAGGGGCGGCGAACAGCGGCGCGGCAAGCCGAUACGUUGUCAAGUUCGCAACCAAAUGCUUCAUGGACGAAGAGGAGGGCUCUGUUGCAAUUGAAGGGGAAGCAAUGGCUGUCCUGCCUACACUGGAGCUCAGCUCUCAGUCAACUAGCAAGCAGUAGUGAAAGGUGGCCUGAAACCGGGUGACUAGUCAAAUGUUGCUGUUGCUCAAUAGUAGUUGGAGUAACACAAUGCACAAGCUAGUCGGAACUUAGAACAUCUUGUGCUGUCUUUCAUGAGCUUAUCAUAUCCCAACCUGAAUUAUCAAGGUCAUACCCCAUGGCCCAAAUUCGCUCUAGGAUGAAACUGCACUCGGGAUGGGGCAGCCACACAUUGCACAUAUCUUGGGUCCUUUAAAAAGAACAAUUGGACAAUGUGAAACAGGUAUGUAUUUUGUAAAAAUCUAAGAAUAGAAGCAUAUAGAAUAUAUAUAUACACUGACACCAUGACUAAUUUGAGAACUAUUAUUACUUAUUAACAUAAUCUUAUGGAUUAAAAAAUGUCAUGCAACCUGCAAAAGAAAUAAUUUAGAAAAAAUGUUACUUGUUCUUGGUGUGGAGCAGCUCAACCAGGUACACCACCUCAGCCCAUAUUUGGUACCAGUGUGCUGACCGCCUCUAGCACACCUCCAUGACUUCUACUGUAGUAUCCCAGAGCUGAAACCAGACCUGCUUACCUCUUUCUCCCAAGCCGACCAGAUCAGUAGAGGAUUCUCCUCUACAGCAGGCGUGGAAGAGAAAAAAAAAAGUUAACAGUGGUGAUGAUCCUCAAGUGAUCUGGACCAUCCGCGUACAUCGAUGGUGCAAUGUAGCGGAUGGUAAAAUAGCUAGUGGGGACAGUGGAGUGGUACAUUAGCUAAUGGUCUCCCAUAGUGCCAUAUAGGCAAUUUUGGCUUUUAGUUACAUACUAUCGAAGAUUUUAGUUACAUUAGGCUUGGUCCAGUUGCUUUACCUGCAGCAGAUUUGUACUUGUGCCAUCCACCUCCCACUGUCACAAGGUACAGAUCACUUAUUGGUGGAUGGAUAGCAUAUGGUUAGCAAAUUGAAUGGAGUGUGCACUGAUGGCCAAACAAUAACAAAAUUCUAAUACUUAACUUCUUCAUGUUUAUUAUAUGGUUUGGUGCAUCAGGCUGACCCUUAAGAGCACAGUACACCAGACCAUCUAGUAGGAUGCACAACUAGUUGUGUAAUUGUCUGUGUAAUCAAUCCUGAAUCCAGCUCUCGUUACCUUCAAUUCUGUCUUGCCCUCAUGAGCUGAUUCUUUAGCAAAAUAGGCCCGAGUCUUCACAAUUACAUUUCAAAACUGUGAUUGUACCAGGCCUCUAUGUGGCCCCAUUUGUUCUUUGUUCCAGGCUCUACUCCAAGUAGACCUCAACUCUGUAUCCAUCUUAGCAGCUUCUUGCUGCGGGUAAUAAAGUUUCUUGCUUUUGUCAAAAAAAA